UUGUUGCAUCGUUACGCCAGUAGGUGGCGUCAAGUGAGUGAAUCUUUGAAUCAUUCGAAUCAUGAAAUCAACCGAUUCAUUUAAUAGGAAUGAAACACUGCUCUGUGAUACUGGACGAUUGAUUGAAACAGUUCACUGGUGAAGCAAAAAUAUUCAGACUUAACUGUCAAUACUGUAUCUAAAAUGGCCUGUUCAUGCCUGUUGUUGUGCCCGUUUGUGGAUCUUUCUAUCAGGCUGGCGGAGUUCACAGUAGUCCUGGUCUGUCUUGGUUCCUCCGUCUGCGGAACCAGCGCUCCACCUGCCUUUCCGACCAGCCCAACUUUUUACACACACCUUUUAUAUUUGCCUAAGUACAUGGCAUACACAAAUAUUACUAAACACAUAAAUCUCAAAUGUCAAAAUGUACUGGCCCUACAAAACAUCUGUUAAUUUGUUGAAGACU
Long non-coding RNA from Carassius gibelio (silver crucian carp), 442 nucleotides. RefSeq lists it as uncharacterized. Lineage: Eukaryota; Metazoa; Chordata; Actinopteri; Cypriniformes; Cyprinidae. The transcript is spliced from 3 exons. The record is from RefSeq and is a predicted model, not a curated record.